CAGCGUAAUUUUUCUGACAAAACAGUUGGUUCAAAAUUUUUGGAAUUUUUAUAUUUUCGUUAAAGGGUCAAAGUAAAUACUUUGACAAAAUUUUAAGAAAAUUAAACGAGCCAAAUAAAUUUUUAGUGAAAGUGUUGGGUACCACCUUAAUAAGGAAAGAGUCAAGCUUUACAUUAUCAUAACGAUUUAAAUUAGCGUUAUGUUUCUACUUAUGAAAAUCAUGACAAUAAAUAGCUCGCGAAAAUAAGUUGGUUUACAGUAAUUUCAUUAUUUCCAGUAACUACUCUUUUAUAAAUUAUUAUCAUAAGAUAAUAUUUAUAAUAUAUUCGUCACAAUUUUGUAAAGUUGUGUUUAUACAAAUGGUGCAACUGUUAUUUAUUCAUUGUAAUUGUGAAACUUUCCACUGGUUUCAUGUGCUUUGCUGUGUACUUUAGAAGUUCACUACUUGUUUAAAUUUUACCCACUUAGUCUUAAUAACAUAGUUUAAAAGUACAUCACACUUUAUCUUAUGAUGAGUUCAAUUAUUAACCUUAAACAUUCAUACUUUAUACUAUACAAUUAAUUUUAAAAUCAGAAUUUAUAUUUUUCCUAAUGUUGUUUGUAUCUAAAAAUCAAUACAUGUACAUAUCUUUAGAUUUCUAUAAUUUUGGUGUAUAUGUUUAAAUCUGUGGAAAAGAUUUAUAUUAUUUUGAAUUACAAAUAUCAACUUUAACAAAGUGAACAUUAAAAAUAAUUUCAAUUACAAAAAUAAUUGAUUGGGGCAUUUAUAUUUAUAGUAAAACUUACUGUCAGAAUAUAUAUCAUGCCUUACGCCUGCCAGUUUAUCCCACCAAACAAUUGCCUAAUAUAUAUAUAUAUAUAUACAUGCUUCAUAUACAGACGUUAAAUACUGUGGAUUCAUUAUUUUCGUGAGAAAUAAUUUUAUGUGAAUUGAGGGAAAUUUGCCUUUUCGUUGAUGUGUGAUUUCUUAUUUUUCUGAAAUACAACCUGAUAGAAAAUUUGUAAUUCUUUGAAAAAAUAAUUUGUGGUUCACCUGUACCCACAAAAACCCCUAAAAAUUGAUAUCCGACAAAUAAUAAUAUUUCCACAGUAUAUUGUUUAAUGGUAUACAAAUGAAGUCUGUUUUAAAUGAAUCUUAUACAUUUUUCUUAUAAUUGCAAAUUGAAUGUUUAUUUAUUCAGGGCAUUUAUAAAAUUUGAUUUUUUUUUUUUAAAGAAAUGUAUAUGUUGGAGUUUUACCCAUAGUUCUUAAUGCCUCUUCUGUGACAAAUUAUUUUACAUAAGAAUUGAUGAUCAAAUAACCAUGACAUUUUCUGUGAAACAUGUUAAGCUUUAACUUUUCCAAAUUUAUAUGAAAGGAAAAAAAAUGUUAUAAUUGAUAUACAUGUAUCUUCUUUCUUGCUCCUGGCUUACGUACAGAUAUCUAUUAUAAAAUGUAUGUAACAUAAUAUAUAUUUUACCUAAAGAUAAAACUUAAAUCGGUUGACUUUUUAAAUAACUAAUUGCUACCUAAAGAAGUUAAAUUAUGAUCUAGGGACCAGUUUUAUUCAAUAGAAAGAUAGGAUCUUCAACAUGUUUUUUGCAUUUAGCUUUAAGUAUACAGGGUAGCUUUAAGUGUAAUUUAUUUUGACUGAUAUAUUUGUAAUAAGUCCUUUCAUUAGUUCUAUAUUUCAUAUUUUGAACUAUUAAAUCCCUCCCUGCAAAUAUAUCUUAAUAUUUACUAGUUUGUAUAAAAAGGGAAAACUUGAAAAAAACAGCUCUUUGCAUUCUAUACAUGUAUUGCCUCUUCAAAAGCUUGUUGUGUUUCAUAUGCUGCCAAUACUGUAUGUACAAUUUCCUGUGAGGAAAAUCUACAACAGAAUAUUUGUUCCAUUUGUCAGAGGCUUUUCCAUUUAAACAAAUGUGGUACCCAGGAAAGGAUAACCACCUAUAGAGGUAUUUCACUUUUCUUGAAACCCACCAAUGGUGGACAUUUCAAAGUUGCUCUCUGGGUCCCAUGUGUGUUUUUAUUGAACAGCUCAAUUAAACUAGGAACUAAAAUAAAACAGGUACUGCAAUACCUAAACAUGUUGUUAUACAAACCUGCCAAAUGUAACCAGCUGUAAAAUCAGUUUAAAAGUAGUUUGACAAUGUAGUUAACCAAUAUCAGGAAUAUUUACAUGAUAUAAAUAAUAAUGGAUGGCUGUAUUUAUUAUCUUAAAAUCUAAUAUAAAUGUUAUUUCUUAAGAUUAUAUUUUCAAUUUUCUUCCAAAGAUUUCAAACAUCCUAAUUAUAAAAAUGGAAAUUAGUUUGAGACUUUUAAUGACUAUUUCAUACUCCUAGCAUUAAAGUUUUGGAUUUUACGACAAUCGACAUGUGUCAUGUUGGUUGUAAUGGCAUUGAUUUUUUAAAAUAUUAUUAAUUUAAAAUUAUAAUGAAAGAAAUCCAGCCAAAUUAUAGCUUUAUUUAUUGUGAUUCUUGAAAUGUAAUGAAAUAAAAUUAAAAGUUUUAGUUAUUUAAGAUUUGAUAAUUUUGAAAUCAUAAUCCCCAAAAUGUCCAAAUUACAGUAUUUAAAGUUCAACAUGAUUGCUAGAAUAGUUGAGACUUUGUUUUAGACGGACACAUAUUUGAUAAAACAGUAGAUAAUGGCUGUUCUAGUCUUUUGUAUAUUUUCAGUAUAGAAUGUUAAGUAUAGAUGGUUUUUGCUCUAGUCUAUAUAUUUUUGUAUAUGUAAUAUAAAGUGUUGUGGAGUUUUUUUUUGUAGCUAUUUAUUUUGUAAGGUGUACAAUUUAUUGAAAAUGUUCAAUAAAAU
RNAcentral lists this long non-coding RNA (2790 nucleotides) under Mytilus galloprovincialis (Mediterranean mussel). Lineage: Eukaryota; Metazoa; Mollusca; Bivalvia; Mytilida; Mytilidae. The record is from RNAcentral.